Molecule: unclassified non-coding RNA, 1362 nt
Filed under: Hevea brasiliensis (rubber tree)
Lineage: Eukaryota; Viridiplantae; Streptophyta; Magnoliopsida; Malpighiales; Euphorbiaceae
Source: RNAcentral
UUUUUCUUCUUCUUCUUCUCACAAUUUCCCCUGUUUUUUGUCUACUUGUUAACAGGGAAAAUUAACUCCAUGAAUGCUUUAAAGCUCUUUUUAAGUGCAGCAGCACUUGCAAUAAUGGCUGUUCUAUUGACUUUAAGCUCCAAAAAUGUUUACAGUCCACCUUCAAUACCAGGAUCCAAAGAUCUCUUAUCGAAAUCUGAAGUAAUACAUCUGAAAGGAGCAGUUGGGCCGGAGAGUAUUGCGUUUGACCCGAACGGAGAAGGUCCAUACACCGGCGUUGCUGAUGGCCGGAUUCUUAAGUGGAAUGGAGAUUCUGACGGUUGGGUUGAUUUUGCUGUCACUUCGUCUCAAAGGAAGGAAUGUGUGCACCCUUUUGCUCCCCAAAUGGAGCACGUAUGCGGAAGACCGCUGGGCUUACGAUUUGAUACAAGAACCGGAGACCUCUACAUUGCUGAUGCCUAUUUAGGACUUCACGUUGUGGGUCCAUCUGGUGGAUUAGCUACCCCACUCGUCACAGAAGUUGAAGGCCAGCCUCUGCGCUUCACAAAUGACCUCGACAUCGAUGAGCAAGAAGAUGUAAUUUACUUCACAGAUACCAGCACACAAUUCCAGAGGAGGCAAUUUGUUGCAUCUGUUGUAAGUGGAGACAAGACAGGCCGGCUGAUGAAAUACGACAAAUCAACCAAAUCAGUGACAGUUUUACUACGAGGCCUUGCUUUUGCCAACGGUGUAGCCUUGAGCAAAGACAAGUCCUUUGUACUAGUAGCUGAAACUAGUACCUGUAGAGUAGUAAGGCAUUGGCUUAAAGGCCCUCAUGCAGGAAAACACGAUACAUUUGCUGAUCUACCAGGAUAUCCAGACAACAUCAGAAGAAACUCGAGAGGGGAGUUUUGGGUCGGUUUGCAUUCAAAAAGAUCGCUGCUUGCAAAAUUAGUCACAUCCUAUUCAUGGUUCGGAAAGACAACACUAAAACUUCCAUUCACCUUCCAGCAACUGCAUUUCUUGUUAGUUGGAGGACAGCCUCAUGCAACUGCAAUUAAGCUAAGCGAGGACGGGCAAGUUUUGGAUGUUCUAGAAGACCUCGAGAGCAAGACGUUGAAGUUCAUAAGCGAGGUUGAGGAGAAGAACGGCAAGCUGUGGAUUGGUUCUGUACUGGUGCCUUUUGUUGGAGUUCAUGAAUUGUCUUAAAAGUUGCAGUAUCCUAAAUAGGUUAGCUCAACUUUUGGUGAUGAAUAAGUUUUUAACUUAGAGCCAAGAGUUUGUCGGAAACGAUGUUUCUGCUUUCACUAGGUAGGGUAACGCUAUGUAAACCCAUCAUGGUCACACCCUACUUGUCGGAUUACACUGGAUAUGUUAUUGUCG